RNAcentral lists this ribosomal RNA (2932 nucleotides) under Enterobacter hormaechei. RNAcentral's name for it is "23S ribosomal RNA". It matches the Rfam family "Bacterial large subunit ribosomal RNA". Lineage: Bacteria; Pseudomonadati; Pseudomonadota; Gammaproteobacteria; Enterobacterales; Enterobacteriaceae. The record is from RNAcentral.
GGGUUGUGAGGUUAAGCGACUAAGCGUACACGGUGGAUGCCCUGGCAGUCAGAGGCGAUGAAGGACGUGCUAAUCUGCGAAAAGCGCCGGCGAGGUGAUAUGAACCUUUGACCCGGCGAUGUCCGAAUGGGGAAACCCAGUGCAAUCCGUUGCACUAUCGUUAACUGAAUACAUAGGUUAACGAGGCGAACCGGGGGAACUGAAACAUCUAAGUACCCCGAGGAAAAGAAAUCAACCGAGAUUCCCCCAGUAGCGGCGAGCGAACGGGGAGCAGCCCGGAGUCUGAAUCAGCUUGUGUGUUAGUGGAACGGUCUGGAAAGUCCGGCGAUACAGGGUGAUAGCCCCGUACACGAAAGCACACAUGCUGUGAACUCGAAGAGUAGGGCGGGACACGUGGUAUCCUGUCUGAAUAUGGGGGGACCAUCCUCCAAGGCUAAAUACUCCUGACUGACCGAUAGUGAACCAGUACCGUGAGGGAAAGGCGAAAAGAACCCCGGCGAGGGGAGUGAAAAAGAACCUGAAACCGUGUACGUACAAGCAGUGGGAGCCUCUUUAUGGGGUGACUGCGUACCUUUUGUAUAAUGGGUCAGCGACUUAUAUUCUGUAGCAAGGUUAACCGUAUAGGGGAGCCGAAGGGAAACCGAGUCUUAACUGGGCGUUAAGUUGCAGGGUAUAGACCCGAAACCCGGUGAUCUAGCCAUGGGCAGGUUGAAGGUUGGGUAACACUAACUGGAGGACCGAACCGACUAAUGUUGAAAAAUUAGCGGAUGACCUGUGGCUGGGGGUGAAAGGCCAAUCAAACCGGGAGAUAGCUGGUUCUCCCCGAAAGCUAUUUAGGUAGCGCCUCGUGAACUCAUCUUCGGGGGUAGAGCACUGUUUCGGCUAGGGGGCCAUCCCGGCUUACCAACCCGAUGCAAACUACGAAUACCGAAGAAUGUUAUCACGGGAGACACACGGCGGGUGCUAACGUCCGUCGUGAAGAGGGAAACAACCCAGACCGCCAGCUAAGGUCCCAAAGUCAUGGUUAAGUGGGAAACGAUGUGGGAAGGCACAGACAGCCAGGAUGUUGGCUUAGAAGCAGCCAUCAUUUAAAGAAAGCGUAAUAGCUCACUGGUCGAGUCGGCCUGCGCGGAAGAUGUAACGGGGCUAAACCAUGCACCGAAGCUGCGGCAGCGACGCUUAGGCGUUGUUGGGUAGGGGAGCGUUCUGUAAGCCGUUGAAGGUGUCCUGUGAGGGGUGCUGGAGGUAUCAGAAGUGCGAAUGCUGACAUAAGUAACGAUAAAGCGGGUGAAAAGCCCGCUCGCCGGAAGACCAAGGGUUCCUGUCCAACGUUAAUCGGGGCAGGGUGAGUCGACUCCUAAGGCGAGGCCGAAAGGCGUAGUCGAUGGGAAACAGGUUAAUAUUCCUGUACUUGGUGUUACUGCGAAGGGGGGACGGAGAAGGCUAUGUCAGCCGGGCGACGGUUGUCCCGGUUUAAGCAUGUAGGCGGAGGUUCCAGGUAAAUCCGGUACCUUAUUAACGCUGAGGUGUGAUGACGAGGCACUACGGUGCUGAAGUGAUAAAUGCCCUGCUUCCAGGAAAAGCCUCUAAGCAUCAGGUAACACGAAAUCGUACCCCAAACCGACACAGGUGGUCAGGUAGAGAAUACCAAGGCGCUUGAGAGAACUCGGGUGAAGGAACUAGGCAAAAUGGUGCCGUAACUUCGGGAGAAGGCACGCUGAUGGGUAGGUGAAGCCCCUGCGGGCGGAGCUGAAAUCAGUCGAAGAUACCAGCUGGCUGCAACUGUUUAUUAAAAACACAGCACUGUGCAAACACGAAAGUGGACGUAUACGGUGUGACGCCUGCCCGGUGCCGGAAGGUUAAUUGAUGGGGUUAGCGGCAACGCGAAGCUCUUGAUCGAAGCCCCGGUAAACGGCGGCCGUAACUAUAACGGUCCUAAGGUAGCGAAAUUCCUUGUCGGGUAAGUUCCGACCUGCACGAAUGGCGUAAUGAUGGCCAGGCUGUCUCCACCCGAGACUCAGUGAAAUUGAACUCGCUGUGAAGAUGCAGUGUACCCGCGGCAAGACGGAAAGACCCCGUGAACCUUUACUAUAGCUUGACACUGAACACUGGUCCUUGAUGUGUAGGAUAGGUGGGAGGCUUUGAAGCGUGGACGCCAGUCUGCGUGGAGCCAACCUUGAAAUACCACCCUUUAAUGGCUGGUGUUCUAACGUAGACCCGUAAUCCGGGUUGCGGACAGUGUCUGGUGGGUAGUUUGACUGGGGCGGUCUCCUCCCAAAGAGUAACGGAGGAGCACGAAGGUUGGCUAAUCCUGGUCGGACAUCAGGAGGUUAGUGCAAUGGCAUAAGCCAGCUUGACUGCGAGCGUGACGGCGCGAGCAGGUGCGAAAGCAGGUCAUAGUGAUCCGGUGGUUCUGAAUGGAAGGGCCAUCGCUCAACGGAUAAAAGGUACUCCGGGGAUAACAGGCUGAUACCGCCCAAGAGUUCAUAUCGACGGCGGUGUUUGGCACCUCGAUGUCGGCUCAUCACAUCCUGGGGCUGAAGUAGGUCCCAAGGGUAUGGCUGUUCGCCAUUUAAAGUGGUACGCGAGCUGGGUUUAGAACGUCGUGAGACAGUUCGGUCCCUAUCUGCCGUGGGCGCUGGAGAAUUGAGGGGGGCUGCUCCUAGUACGAGAGGACCGGAGUGGACGCAUCACUGGUGUUCGGGUUGUCAUGCCAAUGGCACUGCCCGGUAGCUAAAUGCGGAAAAGAUAAGUGCUGAAAGCAUCUAAGCACGAAACUUGCCCCGAGAUGAGUUCUCCCUGAGACCUUGAGUCUCCUGAAGGAACGUUGAAGACGACGACGUUGAUAGGUCGGGUGUGUAAGCGCAGCGAUGCGUUGAGCUAACCGAUACUAAUGAACCGUGAGGCUUAACCUUACAACGCCGAAGCUGUU